AUAUCCUUAGAUGGAACAUAAGACAGAGUCUUCUUGGUAACUAUUCACAGAAUCUAAAAUGCUCUCACACAAGUGGCCAGGUUAGCCCUCCACCUUCUUCAAGAAAAUAAAUUCUUUUUUUAGAUAGGCAAGUUUUCUAAAUUGACUGGUAAUUGGGAUUUGAAAUUAGUUGAGGCAGCAACACUCUUUGGCAGAGAAAGCUAAAGGCCUUGUUCAACUAAAACUUCCAGGAUUCCAUAGUAUUGAGAUUCAGCAGUUAAAGUGGUGUCUAAUGGCAUUAAUUAUACCGGGAAAAUUCACCCUAGAAUUCUGAUAGAGUAGGGUUUGAAUCCCUGCUCAGCAACAGAAACCCACUAGGUGAACUUGGGCAACUUACUUUCUCAGAGCAAGGCAAAGCCAAACCCUCUGAAGCAAUAUGUCAGGAAUACUCUGUAAUGUUGCAGUAGGAGUUGCAACCUUGGAGUUGCAGUAGGUUGGAAAUGACUUGAAGGACUAGAAAGCACUAAAGCUCAUAAACUCUUAACAGCUUUUAACUACUAAAACACCAAUGAAUUGAGCACCUUGAAAUGUAUAUACUGUUUCUUCUAUGAAAAAUUACAGACAGAUGGUUAAAAGGGGCUGGUUAUAGGGCACAUACAACUCCCUUGCUACAACAGCCCCACUGGCUGCCAGUUCAUUUCCAGAUUUAAUUAAAUGUGCUGGUUAUAACCUACAAAGCUCUCUACAAUUGAGGUCCAGGCUAUCUGACAGACUACAUUAUCCCAUACAAACCUGUGAGGAGGAUCCUUAAGAGGCUUUUCUUUCAGGUUUACUCUCUUCACUGGCAUGGUUAGUGUAAAGCAUAAUAGGUGUCAUAACUCACCCUCUGGACUCAGAAGCUUUAGAGGAAGAGGAAGAAGCAAGUUGCCAAGAAUCUGCAGCUCCUAGUGACAGUGGUUUCUCGGGGAAGACUGAAUUGGAGGGAGCCAAGCUAGAAGUGGACCCUAAUCCUAGAUAGAAUGGUGAAGACAUUGAAGACCCAUCUUGAGACACCUGCCUAUCGAUCUCCCAGCCACUCCCUCACAACGUUGUUGCUCUAAACCCUCCUUUUUGUGAAGGAAAUGUGAAGAAAGAAGAUUGUUCUGGUCCAUUGUCAUUCACUGAUGCAGUACCAGAUCUUGGAAAGUUAAACUCCUGGAAUCCUCAGCUAGGUGGUGCUUCUGCUGUGAAACUGGUUGUACCUUGCAUGGACUGCUCACAGUGUAAGUAUGUUUUAUUUGGCCCAUGUGGACAUGGGAUUAGUGACCUAUGGGUCUUCUGUGCUAACUGCUGGUUAACAUCUUCAAUGCCACAACACUCCUGUCCCAAGAGUUCCUAUAGAUCAAGGGCAAGAAUGAUGUGGCCUUCUAAUUAUUGAAUUGCAUCAUCUAACACUUGCUGCCUUUAGAAAUGCUGGCUUAGUGCUGCUGGGCUGUGCAAUCCAAUAACAUAUGGAGGAGUGCAUUGAGAUUCCCAGUCAGACACAAAGGAUGACCAAGGACUGCCUUCUGAAAAAUAGGACACAAGGCCACUCUAAGCCUAAACUGAUUUAAAAAAUGAAGUUCCCCCUGAUAAGAGAUGCCUGUGUGUCAAAUCUGUGAUAAAAGCAUGGAAGUGAUAGGUAGUAAUCUUCUAGAUACAUCUUAAAACUCAUUGCUAUAUUAAGAGAAGUGUGCUCCAGCUAAACUUAGGCACAUUUGAUUCUGAUUCCUUUCAACAGAAGAGCUGUGCAUGCUUAAUUUUCUCCCACACAAACCAAUAAGGCUUUCGUGUUGAAUGUUGGCUGGACUGCGUCCUACGCAAGUAAAGAGAUUGGCUCUCAGUCAGAGCAGAAAGUGUUGCUUUUUGUGAGCAGUUGAAGGAGAAGAUCGCCUAUCGUUCAAGGGGUCAAAAGGCCUGUGUGUUUGGCAGCUAAGAGAACUGGAGUCACACAUUCUCUUCUCAUGUGUGCUUGAUUUAGAGGUUGAUAUUGGAGCUGAAAGGAGACUUUCCAUUGACUUCAAAGGCCCUUGGAUCAGGCUGCUGUGUAGUCAUUGUAUCAGUGGCCUGAAUUCAUUUCACAUUGGCAUCAACUCAGCACAGCUGACUGCUGAUCUGUUGCAGAUGCAGUGAAGUGGCCUGAUGCAAGCCACUCUUCUAUCCAACAUCCACAACAGAAUGAAAGAAGUUGCCAGGUCUAGAUGUUGGUCCUUGUGCACUUUUUUGAGAAGUUAACUGUUUGGAGAGCAUCUCCCAAGGAAAGAAAGCAUGGGAAUAGAACUGUUAUAUUUCCUAAAAAUCAGGUCAGUUUUGUGGUAAGAGAUGGAACUUGAAAGUGUUGCUUUUUAGAUGAAAACUUUCAAUGUCUUCCAGACUAUGCUGCAUGGGUGAUUUUGCUAAUUUUGGCCCAAAAUGUAAAGUUUUGGUAGGUGAUCAAGUACACAGUAUAUGUUUUCUCAACAUAGGAGAGCAACUGUUACGUUUCUCUUUUCUUUGAAGAUAUUAACUGGUUUCCUUGAAAUAUGACUUGGAUGAACAUUACACUCCUACACACGUUUUGGAAUAUCUCCCAUGGUUUCUGGGGAGAUUUUACCAUCUUGACUUCCUCUUUCAACAAGUCCCCUCAUUUUUAAAUACUUUCUCUUUUGAAGUCUCUUGUAAAUUCAUUGGUCUUCUUUACCACAUCAAAGCCUUGUCUACAUGAACAAAAUAAACCUGGACUCAGCAUGACUUCAGCACUGGCUGUCUACAUGAUGCACAGCUACUUCCAGCGAGUAUCCCUGCCCUUAACAGGACUUUGCUCCACUUCAAGCAAAGUCAAGGAGAUACUCUGGACCUUACAGGAAAUUCCAGAGUAUCUUGGGCUGGGAGGCAGUCUUGACAGCUCAAUUGGGUUCAUUUUGGCCCAGUCCAAUGUCCAGAUGGAUGCUGCUGCCAUCAGCAUGGUGAUUGGUGGCUUGUUCCUGAAUCACCACAACAGCUCCAUGCUAGCCAUGGAGACUUCUGUGAAUGCAGGUGCAUCUGCUGAGGUCAAAAUGGAUUAUCCAUGCAACAAGCAAGAGGGAUAGGGUCACUGGUUGUGCAGGUGCCAUGCUAUGACAUCAGCAAAUGUGAUUGUAAUGGUCAAAGACUUGUAGGGAGCUUUGCGGUUGGUGAAAAGCAGUGACAGCAACAGCAACAUGAAGGAAAAAGCAGGGCUGAUGCAGACUGUCUGGAUCUCAAUACAUCAUCUUCAGCCCGGUGCAUCAGAGUCACUCCAGGGCCAGUCUGCAGCAUAAUGGACCAACUGGUUCCAGUUUAAGCAACCAGUUUUGUUAGUUUCCCCAAACCCUUGCUGAAGUCAUUUAGACUAGAAUCGUCUCACUUCAAAAUGAAAUUUGCAAAUCAGGCUUUAAAAGUAGCUACUGUUAGGAUGACUAUUUCUCCCACUGCCAAGAAUCUGAGGAGUACCUCUGAGAAUCUAUACAAAAGUUUGGAUCCAUUUCUUUGAACCACGCCAGCUCGUCCUGAUAAGUGUAUAUCAGUGAAGUGAUUCCAUCUCCCACUCCCAAUGAAUCACUUAAAUAAAACUUGGAGCAAUUAAA
Molecule: long non-coding RNA, 3581 nt
Organism: Anolis carolinensis (green anole)
Lineage: Eukaryota; Metazoa; Chordata; Lepidosauria; Squamata; Anolidae
Exons: 3
Source: RefSeq, a predicted model, not a curated record